UACGGAGGAUGCAAGCGUUAUCCGGAUUUAUUGGGUUUAAAGGGUGCGUAGGCGGGAUUGUAAGUCAGUGGUGAAAUCUCCCGGCUUAACCGGGAAACUGCCAUUGAUACUGCUUUCCUUGAGUGCAGUUGAGGUGGGCGGAAUGUGUAAUGUAGCGGUGAAAUGCUUAGAUAUUACACAGAACACCUAUUGCGUAGGCAGCUCACUAAUCUGUAACUGACGCUGAGGCACGAAAGCGUGGGGAGCGAACAGG
Molecule: ribosomal RNA, 253 nt
Filed under: uncultured bacterium
Lineage: Bacteria
Description: partial 16S ribosomal RNA
Rfam family: Bacterial small subunit ribosomal RNA
Source: RNAcentral